CAAUAGCGUAUAUUUAAGUUGUUGCAGUUAAAAAGCUCGUAGUUGGAUUUCGGAUGGGACUUGCCGGUCCGUCGUUUCGAUGUGCACUGGCCAGUCCUAUCUUGUUGUCGGGGACUAGCUCCUGGGCUUCACUGUCCGGGACUAGGAGCUGACGAGGUUACUUUGAGUAAAUUAGAGUGUUCAAAGCAAGCCUACGCUCUGAAUACAUUAGCAUGGAAUAACACGAUAGGACUCUGGCUUAUCUUGUUGGUCUGUGAGACCAGAGUAAUGAUUAAGAGGGACAGUCGGGGGCAUUCGUAUUUCAUUGUCAGAGGUGAAAUCCUUGGAUUUAUGAAAGACGAACUUCUGCGAAAGCAUUUGUCAAGGAUGUUUUCAUUAA
Molecule: ribosomal RNA, 379 nt
Filed under: uncultured eukaryote
Lineage: Eukaryota
Description: partial 18S ribosomal RNA
Rfam family: Eukaryotic small subunit ribosomal RNA
Source: RNAcentral